GAGAUAGGAUGGAAUCAUUGAGGCCAUGAAGUUGUGAUGGGUAGACAUGUGGCAGAAAAUAAAAAACAAUGUUAAAUAGCUAUUUGGAAUGCAAGAUGAAAAUCGAGGACACGUCGAUGCAACUUCCGGAGUAUC
This is a long non-coding RNA of Lolium rigidum, 135 nucleotides long. RefSeq lists it as uncharacterized. Lineage: Eukaryota; Viridiplantae; Streptophyta; Magnoliopsida; Poales; Poaceae. The record is from RefSeq and is a predicted model, not a curated record. The transcript is spliced from 3 exons.